This 327-nucleotide long non-coding RNA is filed under the name Ovis aries (sheep). RNAcentral's name for it is "lncRNA (ENSOARG00000026018.1)". Lineage: Eukaryota; Metazoa; Chordata; Mammalia; Artiodactyla; Bovidae. The record is from RNAcentral.
GGAAUGUGGACAAAGGUGAUUCGUGUAUGUGACUUCAAUACCCAGCUUCCAGAAAUCUUUCUUACAAAAUAUUUGACCUUCCUUAUCUUUAUUCAGCAAAUGAAUGGAGAUACUGAACACAAUAUAAAGUACCUGCCAAUGAAUAAUUACCUGAAUGCUUGCCAACAGGAAUAUCUGCAUUGGAGCAAGGAAUACAUGUACUAUAGGAAGCUGCUAAGAUUUUCAGCUCAUUGAAAGGUGAUCAUGGAAAGAAAAUCUGGAGUCCUAUUGAUCUAGUAAUUUAUCAAGCUACCCAGACACAUAUUUGUGAACAGAGUCACACAUCUG